GGGCUCAAAAAAAAGCAAAGACACAGCAGGGUAAGUAUAAAAAAGCCUUUUAUAGAUUAGAUAACUUCAUAAAACAAGCCAAAGAUUAAAGUAUGCAAAUCCAUUCAUACGCCCAUUAUUAUUUAUCUGAAUUUGGCAAUGCGGGGUGGGUCCUCCAUUUCCGCUCUCCCCCUGGAGGAACUGGUGAGGCCUUCAUGUAAAAGAGGCAGAUGGGGGACACCGCUUCUUCUCCUGUCAGAUGCUGCUGAAAAGCGGGAAUCCCAGAAACUCCCCAGUAAUGCACCAGAUCCUUCUGCUGCUCCUACUGUAGAUUUACCUGACUACUGUGUCCUUGCUGCACCAGCCAGUGAUGGAGGAAGGAGAGCCCAAAUCUGGGAGGCGAAGGGGAACACACCUGCUUUACCGGACUACUGAAACUCCCUUCCUAUCAUCCCCUCUACUUCAGCAUGCUUCUUACUGUGUUCCCACACAUACAUGUGAGAAAGAAAGAUGGAAGAAGAAUGAAAGAAUGAGCAUGUCAACUCUACUCCCAGUCAACUCUAUUGCCACCCAUUCAUUUCAGGAUCCAAGUCAAAAUUGCCCUCCUUGUUUAUAAAACCUUCAGUGGACUUUUUCCAUCCUAUCUACAGACUUUGUCACCUUCUACUCACACACUUGAACCUCUGUUCAUGUAGCAAUGGCCUUCCCAUGUCCCUCUACACAAUCCUGCCAUUCAUGGUCUUCUGCAGCUCCUGCCAUUUGGAACAACCUUCUUUUAUCUCUCUGCCUCAAUGACUUUAUCACACUGAUUUAUUUCAAACAAAAGCUGAAAAUGACUCUUUUCUUGCUUGUUGAUACUACGUAUUUUCUUCUGCUGCUAUAGUUUAUGGACCAUGUCAUUAUUUUAUUUAACUUAUUAUUUAACUCUGUAAAGAUGUCAUAUUGUACUCUGUUGUACCCUUGAACUUAGUUAUUAUGCUUUGUAAUGUAGGAUUCAGCUUACCAACCUAUACUAUAUGUAACAAACUACUCUUAAUGGGUGGUAAAGAUUGAGAAAUCAAGCACUCCAACCUAAGGAAAUGCAGAGUAAAUGUUAAAAGAACAAUCUUAAUUAUGCUUAUGGAUAUGUCUUGAAAUACAGUCUCUUUUAUGACAGGUUUCAGAGUAGCAGCCGUGUUAGUCUGUAUCCGCAAAAAGAACAGGAGUACUUGUGGCACCUUAGAGACUAACAAAUUUAUUAGAGCAUAAGCUUUCGUGGACUACAGCCCACUUCUUCGGAUGCAUACAGAGUGAAAUAAAUAUUGAGGAGAUAUAUAUACA
Molecule: long non-coding RNA, 1299 nt
Filed under: Chrysemys picta bellii (western painted turtle)
Lineage: Eukaryota; Metazoa; Chordata; Testudines; Emydidae
Description: lncRNA (ENSCPBG00000027640.1)
Source: RNAcentral